Molecule: ribosomal RNA, 483 nt
Filed under: uncultured bacterium
Lineage: Bacteria
Description: partial 16S ribosomal RNA
Rfam family: Bacterial small subunit ribosomal RNA
Source: RNAcentral
AUUGAACGCUGGCGGCAGGCCUAACACAUGCAAGUCGAGCGGAUGAAGGGUGCUUGCUUCUGGAUUUAGCGGCGGACGGGUGAGUAAUGCCUAGGAAUCUGCCUGGUAGUGGGGGAUAAUGUCUGGAAACGGGCGCUAAUACCGCAUACGUCCUGAGGGUGAAAGAGGGGGAUCUUCGGACCUCUUGCUCUCAGAUGAGUCUAGGUCGGAGUAGCUAGUUGGUGGGGUAACGGCCUACCAAGGAGACGAUUCGUAACUGGUCUGAUAGGAUGAUCAGUCACACUGGAGCUGAGACGCGGUCCUGGCUCCUACGGGAGGCAGCAGUGGGGAAUAUUGGACAAUGGGCGAAAGCCUGAUCCAGCCAUGCCGCGUGUGUGAAGAAGGUCUUCGGAUUGUAAAGCGCUUUAAGUGUGGAAAAAGGGCAGUAAGUUAAUACCUGGCUGUUUUGACGUUACCAACAGAAUAGGCACCGGCUAACUUCGU